This 253-nucleotide ribosomal RNA is filed under the name uncultured bacterium. RNAcentral's name for it is "partial 16S ribosomal RNA". It matches the Rfam family "Bacterial small subunit ribosomal RNA", at positions 524 to 776 of the family's 1533-position model. The record is from RNAcentral.
UACGUAGGGUGCGAGCGUUGUCCGGAAUUACUGGGCGUAAAGAGCUCGUAGGUGGUUUGUCGCGUUGUCCGUGAAAACUCACAACUCAAUUGUGGGCGUGCGGGCGAUACGGGCAGACUGGAGUACUGCAGGGGAGACUGGAAUUCCUGGUGUAGCGGUGGAAUGCGCAGAUAUCAGGAGGAACACCGAUGGCGAAGGCAGGUCUCUGGGCAUUAACUGACGCUGAGGAGCGAAAGCAUGGGGAGCGAACAGG